This is a long non-coding RNA of Cebus imitator (Panamanian white-faced capuchin), 590 nucleotides long. RefSeq lists it as uncharacterized. The transcript has 3 exons. NCBI's taxonomy places the organism in Eukaryota, Metazoa, Chordata, Mammalia, Primates, Cebidae. The record is from RefSeq and is a predicted model, not a curated record.
UUACUUAGGGAGUGCUCCAGCCUUUGGGCUGUCUUGCACUCCAACAUAGGAAGGAAAUCAUCGACGGCUUCAUUCCCUGGCGUUUGAGACUUUUCUUCCCACAGACACAUUCCUGAGGACAUCAGUCAUGGGUAAAGAACUCCACUGGGGUCAGAGUUGGAUCCCACUAGGCAGAUUAGGACUUGGAAGUGGAGUGGUACAGACUUGGUGUUCCCAGAGCCUCUCACUCGUGAUUCAUGGCUCUCCACCCCAAGCAUCGGGACUUGCUCAACUUCACCACAGAAGGAAACAGACUGUAAGCUUGGAGGGCCGGGGAGGAAACUGGAGGCACGUGUAGGAGGAAGAGAGAUACUGAUGGGCCACCGAGGUUGGCUCAGUUGGAAUACCAGCCAUGUGGCAUGUCUCAUGGGGCAAGAGCUGUGCCGCCCAUGGGAGCCCAGAGGAGCAUACUGAGGACCAACACCAGGGAGACCUUGCCCGAACACGAGUCUAAAGAAGAUGACCAAAAAAGGGGUGCAGAUCUAGUAGUUUACAAGUGGUGCCAAGAUAAGAGAGAAGGCAGCUGUCUGCAAACCGGAAAGAUGGUUCUC